UCUAUCUAUAAAACUACUGUUAGCAUCAAACGUUUUGCCGUUAAGUCAGCGUUAACAUUAGCGAACGUUAAUUAGCUAAUUUAACUGAUGUGAAAAUGUCAAAUUUCAAAGCCAGUGAAGAUGGAACACGGCAACAGUGUUCAUUAACCAAGGCGGUGGAGGAUGUCAGCCAACGCGGGUACGCACAAACUGAGGCCCUGAAAGAAAGACAGAAGACACUCAGCUCCCUGAAGGUGAGUCUCUCAGAUGUUGAGAAGAAAGCUGAGGAGGUAGAGCAGGAGCUGAGAUCUAAGGUGAGGGAGCUCCUCAUGCUGGAGGGUGAGGUGGAGCACCUGGAACUGCAGACACGAGUCCUGCACGAUCGCUGCGCAUCCAUCAGCGCAGACAACACAGAACUCCAGAUUCGUAUAAGCGAGGAGGAGGAGAAGGCUUGCACGGCACUGGCAGGGUUCAACACUUAUCGAAACAAGAUGGAGGGCCACAGAGCAGCGGUUUUGCAUGCAGAGAGCCAGACGGAGGCCCACAAAGAGCUGGAGGAGAAGAGAGCGCUGGUCAGGAUGUUGACACAGACGAAAGAGGAGCUAAAGGAGGAUUUGGAGAAUCCAAAUGGAAACACAGUGCAGAUGGCAAAGAGAGAGAUUAAUGCUCUAAAAGGCGAGAUUACAGUGAUGAGGAAGAGUGUAGCUGAGAGGAGAGAACAAUUGAGAAAAGAGUUUGUGACCCAGAGCCAGAUAAAGAAAGACAUACAGAUCCAAAACAGGCGCUAUGAAGCCAUCAUCAAGCGCCUCCGCUGCCAACUGAGCAAGGCCCAGGCUGUCCACAGGCAAAUGUCAGGAGAUAUCUACCACAUGGAGAGACAGAUAGCCAAGCUCAAACGGCAGCUGGAGUCAUCACAGGACUCAGUGGUGAUUAUACUGUAGUGUCAGCUCACAGGGAGCGAGAGAAGGUGCUGAGAGGAGGAAAAGUGGAGGAUAAGAGAGGGCUGUAAUCCCCCAUAAUCCCCUUCUCUCUCCCAGUGGGGCGCGAGCUCCGUGCCUCUUUCAGCGCUUCUGUUUGCAGUUUGUUUUGAAUUUUCAGAGGGCUCUCUCGCUUGGCGGCGGGGCACGUGCCUCUGAGAAAUGUGACUUUGGAUAGAGGACGAAUGAGGACACACAGGAGAACAGACCUGCUACAGGAAAUACGCACAUAGACACCGACCUUGAGCUUCACACAAAAUAAAUCAAACAGUUAAGUGCUCUUUCUAGAGUUAAUAUUUUGCUCCAACGUUCGACAAUAAAAGGGCGGCAGCAGGAAAUCCGCUCCACAGCAGAAGAGGGAAGAUGAGGAGAUACGAGAAGAAGAGAUUUUCUCAUUUUCUGCAAUGGCAACCUCAAGAGACCAGAGUGUAAAACAGCCACAAGAUAAGCUGCAUUUUGAGUAAAGAUGGAAAAAUGUGCCAAAAUCAACUUUGAUUUCCUUUUUUUGACAGCUUGUAAGUGUUGCUGAGAUAGUACAGGACCUUUUUCAUUUGGAUUUAGCCACAAAAAGCCAUAAAAAACACGUUUAUUAGUCUGUAUUUUUUUUAUAAAUGCUGUUCAGACAUGUUGUAUUUUAUUAUUGGAAAUGGAGAGACCACUUUUUUUUUUUACAUUCUCUCCUCAGAGGCAUUCAUAUUGUUCCCCUCGGUUGUGAACAUACAAAAUGACUAAAGUUGCUGUGUGAAGACUGAAAAAAAAAGUUUCACACCUUGGCUCAGUGGUAAGUUACAAAAAUUGUCAGACACCGGAAAUGGGGUUUCAGAUGUCAUUGAACAAUGCAAAGCACUUCGUUUGAAGCAUACUGGGGCCAUUACAACACUUCCUUACACAGCAAAAUAACUCCUGGGGUUCAUUGUCCAGCACGGUGAUGAUAAAUGCAUCUCCGUUAAAUUCGUGACUCUUCAACAGACAUCUCGUUCUUCAAGACUCUGUGCAGGUGAAGGAGCUCAUAUGUUCAGCGUGACUAUCCUCUAGACCCUCAUGCGCCGUUAAAGUGCAGCCGCCUGUUCACACCUCCCCUCAGCUGUUUCCCAAAAACACAGACGUGACCCAGAUAUAGCCGCUGGACAUCCAAUUAAAUGUGACCAGUGUAGUAGAACUGGUAAUUUCCAGGGGAACGUAAACACACACACAGACACACACACACAUUUUGAGGGUUUCUCCUAUUGGCGUCACAUGGUGCAUCAAAUGAGUCGCCCUUCGUCUGUAUUUUGCAUGUAUCCGAAUGUUCAGAUCAGCUCAGAGAUGUACUCGCAGGCCUAUGGCGGCAGCUGACUUGAAUUUAAAAAAAACAGCGCUGAUUGAGGGCACAUGCAUGAGUCUGUGUGUGUGUACAUGUGACUGAAAACAAGACUCCACAUGCGGUCUAUUUGUGUGGCAGCCUCGGACAUAUACGCAGACCACUGAAUCAACUGAUCACGUGUGUGUGUGUGUUAUCAAAGAGUUCUCCCAGUUAAACAGAAUAUCAGAUUAAAACGUCAGAUUGAAAUUUAAACAAAACAUCUCUGACCCCAUAAUUUUUGGUGCAGUUUAAAGAGUAGUAUCACUGUUUUCCAACCCAAAAAGUCCUCCCAACAACCUCUCCUUAACCAUGAAUUCAUCUAUUUUAUUGGCUCACAACCAAAAAAAAAUUGAAUCAGCCU
RNA transcript from Thunnus maccoyii (southern bluefin tuna), 2659 nucleotides. It is a transcript of the gene named coiled-coil domain-containing protein 122-like, with no coding region annotated. Lineage: Eukaryota; Metazoa; Chordata; Actinopteri; Scombriformes; Scombridae. The record is from RefSeq and is a predicted model, not a curated record. The transcript is spliced from 8 exons.